Molecule: ribosomal RNA, 203 nt
Filed under: uncultured yeast
Lineage: Eukaryota; Fungi
Description: partial 26S ribosomal RNA
Rfam family: Eukaryotic large subunit ribosomal RNA
Source: RNAcentral
GCAUAUCAAUAAGCGGAGGAAAAGAAACCAACAGGGAUUGCCUCAGUAGCGGCGAGUGAAGCGGCAAGAGCUCAGAUUUGAAAUCGCAGCAAUGCGAGUUGUAGAUUGCAGGUGGGAGAGUCUGCGGCGGUGCGUGUCUAAGUCCCUUGGAACAGGGCGCCAUUGAGGGUGAGAGCCCCGUGCGACGCGUGCCUAUGCUUGAC